GACGAACGCUGGCGGCGUGCCUAAUACAUGCAAGUCGAGCGAUGAAGCUUGGUGCUUGCACCAAUUUGAAGAGCAGCGAACGGGUGAGUAACGCGUGGGGAAUCUGCCUUUGAGCGGGGGACAACAUUUGGAAACGAAUGCUAAUACCGCAUAACAACUUUAAACAUAAGUUUUAAGUUUGAAAGAUGCAAUUGCAUCACUCAAAGAUGAUCCCGCGUUGUAUUAGCUAGUUGGUGAGGUAAAGGCUCACCAAGGCGAUGAUACAUAGCCGACCUGAGAGGGUGAUCGGCCACAUUGGGACGGGGACACGGCCCAAACUCCUACGGGAGGCAGCAGGAGGGGAUCUUCGGCAAAGGACGAAAGGCUGACCGAGCAACGCCGCGUGAGUGAAGAAGGGUUUCGGAUCGUAAAACUCUGUUGGUAGAGAAGAACGUUGGUGGGAGUGGAAAGCUCAUCAAGUGACGGUAACUACCCAGAAAGGGACGGCUAACUACGUG
This 497-nucleotide ribosomal RNA is filed under the name uncultured bacterium. RNAcentral describes it as "partial 16S ribosomal RNA". It matches the Rfam family "Bacterial small subunit ribosomal RNA", at positions 28 to 507 of the family's 1533-position model. The record is from RNAcentral.